Molecule: ribosomal RNA, 559 nt
Filed under: uncultured marine bacterium D016
Lineage: Bacteria
Description: bacterial SSU rRNA
Rfam family: Bacterial small subunit ribosomal RNA
Source: RNAcentral
CUACGGGAGGCAGCAGUGGGGAAUCUUAGACAAUGGGCGCAAGCCUGAUCUAGCCAUGCCGCGUGAGUGACGAAGGCCUUAGGGUCGUAAAGCUCUUUCGCCAGGGAUGAUAAUGACAGUACCUGGUAAAGAAACCCCGGCUAACUCCGUGCCAGCAGCCGCGGUAAUACGGAGGGGGUUAGCGUUGUUCGGAAUUACUGGGCGUAAAGCGCACGUAGGCGGACUGGAAAGUUGGGGGUGAAAUCCCGGGGCUCAACCCCGGAACUGCCUCCAAAACUAUCAGUCUAGAGUUCGAGAGAGGUGAGUGGAAUUCCGAGUGUAGAGGUGAAAUUCGUAGAUAUUCGGAGGAACACCAGUGGCGAAGGCGGCUCACUGGCUCGAUACUGACGCUGAGGUGCGAAAGUGUGGGGAGCAAACAGGAUUAGAUACCCUGGUAGUCCACACCGUAAACGAUGAAUGCCAGUCGUCGGCAAGCAUGCUUGUCGGUGACACACCUAACGGAUUAAGCAUUCCGCCUGGGGAGUACGGUCGCAAGAUUAAAACUCAAAGGAAUUGACGG